GACGAACGCUGGCGGCGUGCUCAACACAUGCAAGUCGAGCGAUGAAAGCCUUAUGAACUAUUCGUAGUGAUUGGGGCCGGAUUAGCGGCGGACGGGUGAGUAACGCGUGAGCAACCUGCCUUAAACAACUGGAUAGCCUCGGGAAACCGGGAUUAAUACCGUAUGAGACCCCGCCUUCACAGGGAGAAGAGGUUAAAGAUUUAUCGGUUUAAGAUGGGCUCGCGUCUGAUCAGCUAGUUGGUGAGAUAAAAGCCCACCAAGGCAACGAUCAGUAACCGGCUUGAGAGAGUGAACGGUCACAUUGGAACUGAGACACGGUCCAAACUCCUACGGGAGGCAGCAGUGGGGAAUAUUGCACAAUGGGGGAAACCCUGAUGCAGCGACGCCGCGUGAGCGAUGAAGGAAUUCGUUUCGUAAAGCUCUGUCCAAGGGGAAGAUAAUGACAGUACCCUUGGAGGAAGCCCCGGCUAAAUACGUGCCAGCAGCCGCGGUAA
This 494-nucleotide ribosomal RNA is filed under the name uncultured bacterium. Its description in RNAcentral is "partial 16S ribosomal RNA". It matches the Rfam family "Bacterial small subunit ribosomal RNA", at positions 28 to 523 of the family's 1533-position model. The record is from RNAcentral.